Kogia breviceps (pygmy sperm whale) is the source of this 303-nucleotide non-coding RNA. NCBI's taxonomy places the organism in Eukaryota, Metazoa, Chordata, Mammalia, Artiodactyla, Physeteridae. The record is from RefSeq and is a predicted model, not a curated record.
CACUGGCAUCACUUACUGAGGCCUCCACAGCUGCCAAGGAGAGCUGGAGGAGUUGAAACAGGUUCUGGGUGAGGGGCAAGAGAGAGCCAUCUAUUUGCAGCCUCAGAAGCACAUUUCUGCCUUCUCUCCUUGAGCCCAAACCCACCCUUGAAAGUUACCCCAGGUUGGAUUAGCUGGCUGCUUAUCGUGGACACUGUUCCAGAUCAGCACACACAGAUCUGCUCUAUUCUUCUUACCUUGCCACGUGGUAUUCCUUUUUUUUUUAAAAAAAUAAUAAUCUGUAAUACAUAUGAUUAAAGGGCU